RNAcentral lists this long non-coding RNA (2028 nucleotides) under Androctonus crassicauda. Lineage: Eukaryota; Metazoa; Arthropoda; Arachnida; Scorpiones; Buthidae. The record is from RNAcentral.
ACGGAAAUGUUUUAAAAGGGAAAUAAAAAAAAAAAAUAAAAUAAUAAAAAAAAAAAAAUUGUUGAAUGUAUAAGUAAUCACUAAGAAAAAACAACUACAAAUGACUAAAAAAUAAAACUCGAGUCGUUUAAGUAAUGGUAUCUUUCAUUUAUAUUUUUCACAAUGCAUCACUCCAAACGUGAAAAAUUCAAGAUUUCUUCCUACUUUUUAUUUAAACCACAUACACAUGCACAUACAAAAUCCCCAUUCUUUCAGCAUAUUCAAUACAAAUUCUUUUUUUACAGAAUUUUUCCUAGACUAGUAUUAAAAAUUAUACAUAUUUUUUUUCUUUAUCGAGUAAUUCAUAAAAUUUUACAACUGUAUAACAAAUAAUUCAUAUUUUUCGAAUUGCAACAAACAAUUCACAAUAUAUCGAACCUGAAUUUCUUUGCUAGCAACCUUUUAGUUACAACAUACAACACAAUUUUUAAAAAGAAAAUAUUUUCAAACUUACAUAUCUUCUUGACAACAACAGCCUUGGCAUGCAGCCAGUAGUUGUUUGAAGAGUGGGUCUUUGGGGAAAGGGAGACUAGUUGUGACCUCAUACCACUUCGUAACCAUAGUUACUGUGUUACAUGCAUAUUUCAAAAGGUGUUCUCGAUUUUGUACCUCAACCUUAUACGUCACACUAGGUAUUCAUCGCCAUUUUUUUUACAUCCCUCUGUUUUCUACUAUGUUGCAAUUUUUAGAAAUUCGAUAAAAUGCGGAUUAUAUCAGGUUUAAAAAAAAAAAAAUAAUAUUCGAAUAUCGAUAGAGAACGGGAUUAAAGUAACAUUUUGUCAUUUUAAUGUGAUCGGAACGUGUCUUUAAUACCCUCCAUUUCGAAGAAUGAUUUAUUCAAAUUUGAAAUAUUCAUUUUUCUUCUGCUGUUGCUGCUUCUCUUGCUGUACGUCAGUGGAUUAGAGUUGAUGAAUUAAUCCUUGGUUGCUUAGUUAAUCCUGUAUUGCCAACACGAAGAGAUUACGAGACGAUGUAGGAAAAUGAGAUUAAUCUUGUUUUUGUCUUUUCGUUUGACUAACUGAUGUCGGCCGCAAGCCUUCAAGCAUAAUUACGAGUACUCGAAUAAAGAAAAAUUAAUGAUAAAGCGAAAAAUAGCAUAAAAAUAUAUCGUUUUCUAAUAUUUUAAGAAUUGUUGCUAAAGUAACAGCGGAAUUACUGAAUUAAAUUUUUUUUAUUGUAAGUAGUAUCUGCAAUGUCGUCAAGAAACUUUGCAGAGCGAUUCUUGCAUUUUUUUUCCUUCAGGAAAGUGUAGAUUUAUUUCUAAAUUAAUGAAUAGAAAGAGAGAAAAAAUUUUCCUUUUAUUCCUUUCUCGGAAACAAUAUUAAAUAAUAAUAAUCUCAGUUUUUCAAUUGCAUAUGUUGUAAGAGCCUAUGUAUAAGUACGGAUGUAGAAAAAAGAUUUUUCUAACUUCUAUAUAUAAUUUUUUUAUUCUUGGAAAUGUUAGAUUAGAGCAUGUUCAUGUAUGAAAUUUAACAUUCUACGAAGAGAAAUGCGUGUUUGUUAGUGGAAUAUCGAUUCGAGUUCUUGUUCAUAUUCAAUAGCUAAUGAAAACAUAUUCGUGUGAUGUAGCCUACGUAAUGUCACUGCUGUGCAUUCAAAGCUGUCUGUAAAUGUAACUGUUUUAUAGCUGAUAAUGGUUUUAGCAAAAGUUUAAAAAUGAAUAUUUUAUGUUCGCUUGUAUUUUAAUGACGUUAAGUGCAAACUGACGAUGGGAAAAAUGGAUUGAAGUUCAGUUUUCGCUUUGCCUAUUACUCAUUCGCCGUUGUUGCUAGCUAGAUAUUUUUGUAUUUAUCAAAUUUUUAUGAUUAUCAUUCUCUCUGAUUUUCAGAGAAUUUUCUAAAUAAAAAUUCUGGAGGAAGAAUAAUUGUCGAAAAACUUUAUUAUAUUCAUUAUUUUUUGCAUAAUAAGAAAUAUUAGUCACUCUUUGUGUUUCCUGUUAUGGUGAUGGAAUAAUUUUUUGAUUAGAUUGUGUAUAUUUAAUUUUUGAGA